RNAcentral lists this ribosomal RNA (346 nucleotides) under uncultured Glomeromycotina. Its description in RNAcentral is "SSU rRNA". It matches the Rfam family "Eukaryotic small subunit ribosomal RNA", at positions 569 to 923 of the family's 1831-position model. The record is from RNAcentral. Lineage: Eukaryota; Fungi; Glomeromycota.
AGCAGCCGCGGUAAUUCCAGCUCCAAUAGCGUAUAUUAAAGUUGCUGCAGUUAAAAAGCUCGUAGUUGAAUUUCGGGACUAAUAUGUCGGUCGUGCCUCGGUACGUACUGGCUUAUUGGUUUCUCCUUUCUGAAGAACCAUGAUGUCAUUUAUUUGGUGUCGUGGGGAAUCAGGACUGUUACUUUGAAAAAUUAGAGUGUUUAAAGCAGGCUUUAGCUUGAAUACAUUAGCAUGGAAUAAUGAAAUAGGACGUUCGAACCUAUUUUGUUGGUUUCUAGGAUCAACGUAAUGAUUAAUAGGGAUAGUUGGGGCAUUAGUAUUCAAUUGUCAGAGGUGAAAUUCUUGG